AAACUGCGAUAAGUAGUGUGAAUUGCAUUUAGUGAAUCAUCGAAUCUUUGAACGCACCCUGCACUCACUGGUAUUCCGGUGAGUACGCCUGUUUCAGUAUCAUUGAAAACACACAAUCAAAACAUUUUCUUUGGUUUGAUUGGCUUUGGGUCUAUCAAAAAGUUUGGCUUGUUUCUUACAAGCCAAGCGGCCUGAAAUAUAUUGUCUGGCUAAUUGCAUCGUUGAUGAUCGCUAUUAGACUUUGGCUUUUUUAAAUGAACUGGAGGUUGAUUAACCAGUUUUAGCUUCAGUCAAAUGGUCAUUGUAAAAAAAAUCUCGAUCUUGGCUAGGUGUUUAUAGCCGAAAAUUUUUUUUUGGCUAUAACCGAAACCAAUAUAAUCACACUUAGUUAUCGAUCUGAAAUCAGGUGGGACUACCCGCUGAACUUAAGC
Molecule: unclassified non-coding RNA, 431 nt
Filed under: plant metagenome
Description: partial contains 5.8S ribosomal RNA, internal transcribed spacer 2, and large subunit ribosomal RNA
Rfam family: 5.8S ribosomal RNA (bases 1-102)
Source: RNAcentral